This 580-nucleotide ribosomal RNA is filed under the name uncultured bacterium. RNAcentral's name for it is "bacterial SSU rRNA". It matches the Rfam family "Bacterial small subunit ribosomal RNA", at positions 225 to 802 of the family's 1533-position model. The record is from RNAcentral.
AUGGGCAUGCGGCGCAUUAGCUAGUCGGCGGGGUAACGGCCCACCGAGGCGACGAUGCGUAGGGGUUCUGAGAGGAAGGUCCCCCACACUGGUACUGAGACACGGACCAGACUCCUACGGGAGGCAGCAGUGAGGAAUAUUGGUCAAUGGGCGCGAGCCUGAACCAGCCAAGUCGCGUGAGGGAUGACGGUCCUACGGAUUGUAAACCUCUUUUGCCGGGGAGCAAGCGUGCGUUCGUGAACGCGCGUCGAGAGUACCGGGAGAAAAAGCAUCGGCUAACUCCGUGCCAGCAGCCGCGGUAAUACGGAGGAUGCGAGCGUUAUCCGGAUUUAUUGGGUUUAAAGGGUGCGUAGGCGGGAUGCCAAGUCAGCGGUAAAAAUGCGGUGCUCAACGCCGUCGAGCCGUUGAAACUGGCGUUCUUGAGUGGGCGAGAAGUAUGCGGAAUGCGUGGUGUAGCGGUGAAAUGCAUAGAUAUCACGCAGAACUCCGAUUGCGAAGGCAGCAUACCGGCGCCCUACUGACGCUGAGGCACGAAAGCGUGGGUAUCGAACAGGAUUAGAUACCCUGGUAGUCCACGCAG